This is a long non-coding RNA of Mesocricetus auratus (golden hamster), 769 nucleotides long. RefSeq lists it as uncharacterized. The record is from RefSeq and is a predicted model, not a curated record. The transcript is spliced from 4 exons. NCBI's taxonomy places the organism in Eukaryota, Metazoa, Chordata, Mammalia, Rodentia, Cricetidae.
AAACAGGCAAAACAACAACAGCCAGCACAGUUAGCUCCUUUUCUUGUCACCUCAACCAAAUACCUGCCAAGAAGUAACCGAAGAAGGAGGGUCGCCGGGCUCCCGCAUCCGGAGCACAGUCCUUGGCUGUGGGGAAGGCCAGAGGUAAUUCGGCAGAAUUAUCAGAGGCACUGGCUGUGUUGCCUGUACAAGAGACUGUCCCCAGGAAGAAUAUCUCAUCCAUGAGCGAAACAGAGCUGUCAGGACGUGGACUUCCAGACCUCAGCACUACUGCCGUGUGGAGCUGGACAACUUUUUAAAUUUUAUUUCAAGUACCUGUGUUUUGCGGGCAUAAAUGUCUCCACGUGUGUUCCGUGCCCUCGAAGGUCAGAAGAGGGCAUCAGAUCCCCUGCAACUGGAGUUACUGAUAAUUGUGAACUGCCUUUUGGAGUCUGGGAACUGGACCCUGGGCUUCUACAAGAGCAGCAAAUGAGCCAUCUCUCCAACUCCUCAAAGAAGCAUUUUAAUUGAAAAUCCAGUCCUCUUUGUUUUCCUGCGUCACGCCGCGUUUGUGAAGUCCUCUGCACUGAACCCUGGACACUAUGCUAAUGGGUUUCAUUUUCUUUCAUUUCUUUUUUGUAAGAACCCUCAACUCAAAUCAACACAUUCCAUUUAACUGGGGAUUCAAGCAAACACGAUAGUUAGAAUUACUUUGGACUCAGCCUGGCGGUGGUGGCGCACACCUUUAAUCCCAGCACUCGGGAGGCAGAGGCAGGCAGAGCUCUGUGAG